UUAAGUUAUUAAGGGCGCACGGUGGAUGCCUUGGCACUAGAAGCCGAUGAAGGACGUUACUAACGACGAUAUGCUUUGGGGAGCUGUAAGUAAGCUUUGAUCCAGAGAUUUCCGAAUGGGGAAACCCAGCAUGAGUUAUGUCAUGUUAUCGAUAUGUGAAUACAUAGCAUAUCAGAAGGCACACCCGGAGAACUGAAACAUCUUAGUACCCGGAGGAAGAGAAAGAAAAUUCGAUUCCCUUAGUAGCGGCGAGCGAAACGGGAAGAGCCCAAACCAACAAGCUUGCUUGUUGGGGUUGUAGGACACUCUAUACGGAGUUACAAAGGACGACAUUAGACGAAUCAUCUGGAAAGAUGAAUCAAAGAAGGUAAUAAUCCUGUAGUCGAAAAUGUUGUCUCUCUUGAGUGGAUCCUGAGUACGACGGAGCACGUGAAAUUCCGUUGGAAUCUGGGAGGACCAUCUCCUAAGGCUAAAUACUCUCUAGUGACCGAUAGUGAACCAGUACCGUGAGGGAAAGGUGAAAAGCACCCCGGAAGGGGAGUGAAAUAGAACCUGAAACCGUGUGCUUACAAGUAGUCAGAGCCCGUUAAUGGGUGAUGGCGUGCCUUUUGUAGAAUGAACCGGCGAGUUACGAUUUGAUGCAAGGUUAAGCAGUAAAUGUGGAGCCGUAGCGAAAGCGAGUCUGAAUAGGGCGUUUAGUAUUUGGUCGUAGACCCGAAACCAGGUGAUCUACCCUUGGUCAGGUUGAAGUUCAGGUAACACUGAAUGGAGGACCGAACCGACUUACGUUGAAAAGUGAGCGGAUGAACUGAGGGUAGCGGAGAAAUUCCAAUCGAACCUGGAGAUAGCUGGUUCUCUCCGAAAUAGCUUUAGGGCUAGCCUCAAGUGAUGAUUAUUGGAGGUAGAGCACUGUUUGGACGAGGGGCCCCUCUCGGGUUACCGAAUUCAGACAAACUCCGAAUGCCAAUUAAUUUAACUUGGGAGUCAGAACAUGGGUGAUAAGGUCCGUGUUCGAAAGGGAAACAGCCCAGACCACCAGCUAAGGUCCCAAAAUAUAUGUUAAGUGGAAAAGGAUGUGGCGUUGCCCAGACAACUAGGAUGUUGGCUUAGAAGCAGCCAUCAUUUAAAGAGUGCGUAAUAGCUCACUAGUCGAGUGACACUGCGCCGAAAAUGUACCGGGGCUAAACAUAUUACCGAAGCUGUGGAUUGUCCUUUGGACAAUGGUAGGAGAGCGUUCUAAGGGCGUUGAAGCAUGAUCGUAAGGACAUGUGGAGCGCUUAGAAGUGAGAAUGCCGGUGUGAGUAGCGAAAGACGGGUGAGAAUCCCGUCCACCGAUUGACUAAGGUUUCCAGAGGAAGGCUCGUCCGCUCUGGGUUAGUCGGGUCCUAAGCUGAGGCCGACAGGCGUAGGCGAUGGAUAACAGGUUGAUAUUCCUGUACCACCUAUAAUCGUUUUAAUCGAUGGGGGGACGCAGUAGGAUAGGCGAAGCGUGCGAUUGGAUUGCACGUCUAAGCAGUAAGGCUGAGUAUUAGGCAAAUCCGGUACUCAUUAAGGCUGAGCUGUGAUGGGGAGAAGACAUUGUGUCUUCGAGUCGUUGAUUUCACACUGCCGAGAAAAGCCUCUAGAUAGAAAAUAGGUGCCCGUACCGCAAACCGACACAGGUAGUCAAGAUGAGAAUUCUAAGGUGAGCGAGCGAACUCUCGUUAAGGAACUCGGCAAAAUGACCCCGUAACUUCGGGAGAAGGGGUGCUCUUUAGGGUUAACGCCCAGAAGAGCCGCAGUGAAUAGGCCCAAGCGACUGUUUAUCAAAAACACAGGUCUCUGCUAAACCGUAAGGUGAUGUAUAGGGGCUGACGCCUGCCCGGUGCUGGAAGGUUAAGAGGAGUGGUUAGCUUCUGCGAAGCUACGAAUCGAAGCCCCAGUAAACGGCGGCCGUAACUAUAACGGUCCUAAGGUAGCGAAAUUCCUUGUCGGGUAAGUUCCGACCCGCACGAAAGGCGUAACGAUUUGGGCACUGUCUCAACGAGAGACUCGGUGAAAUCAUAGUACCUGUGAAGAUGCAGGUUACCCGCGACAGGACGGAAAGACCCCGUGGAGCUUUACUGUAGCCUGAUAUUGAAAUUCGGCACAGCUUGUACAGGAUAGGUAGGAGCCUUUGAAACGUGAGCGCUAGCUUACGUGGAGGCGCUGGUGGGAUACUACCCUAGCUGUGUUGGCUUUCUAACCCGCACCACUUAUCGUGGUGGGAGACAGUGUCAGGCGGGCAGUUUGACUGGGGCGGUCGCCUCCUAAAAGGUAACGGAGGCGCUCAAAGGUUCCCUCAGAAUGGUUGGAAAUCAUUCAUAGAGUGUAAAGGCAUAAGGGAGCUUGACUGCGAGACCUACAAGUCGAGCAGGGU
This 2398-nucleotide ribosomal RNA is filed under the name Staphylococcus aureus 12S01399. RNAcentral describes it as "bacterial LSU rRNA". It matches the Rfam family "Bacterial large subunit ribosomal RNA", at positions 3 to 2399 of the family's 2925-position model. The record is from RNAcentral. Lineage: Bacteria; Bacillati; Bacillota; Bacilli; Caryophanales; Staphylococcaceae. RNAcentral also lists the same sequence under 1 other name.